UACGGGGGGGGCAAGCGUUGUUCGGAAUUACUGGGCGUAAAGGGCUCGUAGGCGGCCAACUAAGUCGGACGUGAAAUCCCUCGGCUUAACCGGGGAACUGCAUCCGAUACUGGAAGGCUUGAGUUUGGGAGAGGGAUGCGGAAUUCCAGGUGUAGCGGUGAAAUGCGUAGAUAUCAGGAGGAACACCGAUUGCGAAGGCAGCUCGCUGGAACGUUACUGACGCUGAGACGCGAAAGCGUGGGGAGCAAACAGG
This 253-nucleotide ribosomal RNA is filed under the name uncultured bacterium. RNAcentral's name for it is "partial 16S ribosomal RNA". It matches the Rfam family "Bacterial small subunit ribosomal RNA", at positions 524 to 776 of the family's 1533-position model. The record is from RNAcentral.